AAGUAAGAAGUGGCGGCGCAAGUUGCAGUAGGACGAAAAUCCGUUGGUUUCACAGGACCGUGAGGGUUCGACUCCCUCUAUCCCCAACGAGACACUUCAAUUGACUAAUUUCAAGUUGUUUGGAUUCACA
RNAcentral lists this transfer RNA (130 nucleotides) under Woodsia andersonii. Its description in RNAcentral is "partial tRNA-Leu". Lineage: Eukaryota; Viridiplantae; Streptophyta; Polypodiopsida; Polypodiales; Woodsiaceae. The record is from RNAcentral. RNAcentral also lists the same sequence under 1 other name.